RNAcentral lists this long non-coding RNA (791 nucleotides) under Microcebus murinus (gray mouse lemur). Its description in RNAcentral is "lncRNA (ENSMICG00000048555.1)". The record is from RNAcentral. Lineage: Eukaryota; Metazoa; Chordata; Mammalia; Primates; Cheirogaleidae.
UGACUCUAAAACCUCUCUGUUCCUCGAUUUAUAGAUUACAUCGUGUUUUUCUCUUCCGUGCGAUCAAGAUCUUCAAAGUAAGCAUCUUUCAAAGUAGCGACACAUGAAAUACAGCUGGAGGAUCAGUAACUCCCUGUUAAGCAGCUUUGCUUGCUGUCAUUGUUGACUGCCAGAGGGUGGUGAUCCAUGUCAGUCACUAAAAUGACACCUUGGCAAUACUGCAGUCUGCUUCUGGAGGUUUUGUGUAUGGGACCACUUUUAAGGUUCCUCAAAGAGUCUUAGAAAACCCAGUGAACCCCAUCUCAGGUGAACCCUUUGAUUGUGACUCAUGGUUCCUGACUCGUUCCAAAACUGCUUUCUGGAUUCUGUUGGCCUGUAAUCUUUCCCAGGAAGGAAAUGCAAAAGACAGGUCUGAGAAAAACAAGAAAAACUAGCAUGAUGGAUGCCAUGCUGUAGUAGAUUGCUACCUGACAUCUUAUUGUGAAACAUGGAAAAAAGUCAAUAAGCAAAUUGGACAGACUUGGAGAGUAAUGGAUUGGCAAAUCAAAAUGCAUACACAAAAAAUUAAUCAAAGCAACCACUUAAUUUUAAUCAUAGUCUCACAGUAAACAAGCAUUAGUAUGGGAUUUUAAAAGUCUUAGAUUCAAGUCCUGGCUCUGCCAUUUCUAAGCAAGUGAUUUAUGCAAUUCACCUUCUCUGAGCUUUAGUUUCCUUAUCCAUAAUAUAGAAAUAAUAUCUGCUGUACUUUCCUUCUGUGGUUGCUGUAAGGAUUAAACUAAAUCAUAAAAGUG